AAAAUACUCCUUCUGUCCCAAAAUUCUUGUCUUAAAUUUGUCUAGAUAUGAAUGUAUCUAGUCAUGUUUUAGUAUUUAGAUACAUCCAUUUCUAAACAAAUCUAAGACAAGAAUUUUGGGACAGAGGAGUAUAUG
Molecule: microRNA precursor, 135 nt
Filed under: Hordeum vulgare
Lineage: Eukaryota; Viridiplantae; Streptophyta; Magnoliopsida; Poales; Poaceae
Description: microRNA MIR1122
Rfam family: MIR1120/MIR1122 microRNA precursor family
Source: RNAcentral